RNAcentral lists this long non-coding RNA (7783 nucleotides) under Malus domestica (apple). RNAcentral's name for it is "long non-coding RNA (MDOM_LNC001246)". The record is from RNAcentral. Lineage: Eukaryota; Viridiplantae; Streptophyta; Magnoliopsida; Rosales; Rosaceae.
CGGUGCUCAAAUUGGGUAUAUGAAUAUACCACAGUGAUCUACUCGACGUCACGGACGUCGACAUAUUUUUAAAAUAAUUUUAUUUUUAUUUUUUAUUUUACUGUAGCACCAUCUUCUUCCUUGGGUCGCCGGACUGGUUUUUCCGGCGGCUGUUUUCCGGGCGGUUUUUCAAAUUGCCAUAACUUUGUCAUUUCUCAACGAAAUCAAGUGAUUCAAAAACGAAAGUUGUAGCCCUUGAAGAGACAAAGAGAAUGGUACCUUACACAACACCUAGUUCGCCGUGGUUUGGCCGGAAACUGCCUCGAAAGCCUCGGAGGUCGCCGGAAACUGGGUAUUUUUCAAAUGAGUAUAACUUCUUCAAUACUCAACGAAAUUGAGUGAAACAAAAAGGAAAGUUGUAGUACUUGACGAGACGAAGAGAUUGAUACCUACCUCGACUCCUAACUCGCCGGUGAUUCGCCGGAAAAUGCCUCGAAAGUUCCGGCCAAACUUUGAACUUGUCGAUCUCCGUGUUCUUACGUCCAAAAACUUCCAACGAAGCACUCCGAGCUUCGUGGGAACCUCCUAGAGCUCCCUAUGAUCUUAGUUUGGCCUAAAAAUCAACAAAUACAAAGUUCAUGAAUAGUGUCAUUUCACGGGCUUGAGUUUUCUACGUGAAAUCGUGGGAAACCUUACCUGAAAACAAUACCAAUGUGUUCGUAUGGUCCUCACGAACAUGAUGGUACCUUCCUCAUCCUGAAACUGUGAAGUUUUCGAGAGCCUUGGUGUUUGUCCGAGAGUUUGAGAGAGAAUGAGGGAGUGUGAGAGUGACUGAGGGAGAGAUGAGGAAGAGAGAGAGAAGGAGACAACAAAACGGGAAAUGGGGAAGGAUUUCAGAAGGUAGGACCCUACAUAAAGUCCAAAUACAAAAUAUUAACACAUACAAUAAUAAAUCUAACCCUAGUUUAGGAUGUUUUUAGGUAAAACAAAUACCAAAUUUACGCACCUUAAUCUCGUUUAAGGGCGUUUCUGUAAUUUCACGUCCUCGGAGUUUAUAAUUCCGGGACGGGCUGUGACAAUCUCCCCUCCUUAUAGAAUUUCGUCCCCGAAAUUCUAGCCACCAACCAACCCAUCAAAACUCAUAAAAUAGCCUCGGAUACAUACCUCUCAUCCGUUCUUCCGUCUCCCAAGUAGUUUCUUCCGCUGAAUGGUUCAUCCACAAUACUUUUACCACUUACUCUGUCUUAAUUCUCAGGACCUUCUUUUUCCAAUCCAAAGUCAUCCUUGGUUCCUUAUCAAGUCGAAUCCAAUUUAAUUCUCAAUAGUUGCACCAGAAUUCCAUGAGACGACUCUGCCACCUAGUGACAACGCAUCGAACACAAAAUACAUUAUGUGCCUUAGCCAAUUCUGAAGGCAUCACAAACUUGUAUGCAACUUCAUCGAUUCUUUUAAUGAUCAAAACGGUCUGAUGUGUUUAAAUCUUAUCUUGUCUACUUUCCAAAUCUUACUAUUUCUUUUCAUGAAGAAAUUUCCAAAAAUAUAAAAUCAUCUACGUUAUACACUCGAUUAGUGGCAUACCCAUCUGUUAAUCUCUUUUGUCAUUCCUGGCUACUUUCAGGUUAACUUACUCACCUGAAUAUUUUGAGGAGACUCAUCCAUAGUCUCAGGGCCCGCAAGAACUCUUUUGUCAACUUCUGUCCAACACAAAGGUGUACUAUAAGGUAAUUUGGUAACCAAGCUUCUUGUACGCUAUCCAAAACUUAGAAGUAACCAACAUACCCAAAAACUUAACAUUGUAUAUCGUCAAAAUUGCUUUCUUUAAUUCCACAUAAUUUGGCACAUACGUCCCAUUCUCUUGCAUAAACAUACCAUCCAAUUCUGCCUCGGUUAAUUCUUGAAUUCCUUCGUCAAGCAUUUGAGUCUUGAGUACGACCUUACCAAAUAGGCCUAACUUGAAAUUUAACAAGUAUAACUUCUUCUCGAUCUUCCAUUCUUAAUUUUUCUUCCGUUGGUUUUCAAUCCACAAGAUGAUACUCUUGGCAAACGUGCCAGACAUUAAUCUUACUGUAGUCUUCUCACCAAAUGCUUCAGCUAGAACAAACUUUACGAUCACCCUGAUCGUACAAUCAUGUUCAUUAAGCAAUACAAUUCACCUUUGCUGCCUCAUAUCAAAAUCCUUCCGAGUAAACAAAUAUUGGAGACUCUUUUGAUUUGUAAAAUCUUGCAUUCUUAUCAACAUAUAAUGUCUCCAUAACUUCACAGCAAGGAUGAUAAUCGUGACUUCCAAAUCACCAGUAGGGUAAUUCAUCUCAUGAGAUUCCAUUUGUCGUGAAACGUAUGCAAUCACCCUAACAUUUGCAUCAACAUGCAUCCAAUACCAUUCAAGAAACAUCACUAAAAAUUUAUGAUUACCACUAUUCUCUGGGAUUACUAAAAUACGUGCAUGAGUGAGGAAAUACUUCAGUUGUUGAAUCAUUUGCUCACAAUUUCCUUCCCACUCAUACAUAACCUCUUUUCUCAACCGUCUCGUCAAUGACAAAGCAAUGACUGAAAAAUCUUUCACAACCAUUCAAGAUAGCCUGGUAAGCUAAGAAAUUCCGAAUCUCAAUUACAGUUCGUGGUUGUUCCAAUUCCUCAAUUUCUGCUAUCUUUUAAGGAUUCACUUGAAUACCUUAAGCAGACAUAACAAAUUUUAGAAUGCCACUUGAUCCAUUUAACUUUAGCUUUUGCUAAACUUAGCAUACAACCAACGUUCUCUCAAUCUUUGCUUCACCGACUUAAUACGUUUACAUGCUCUGCUCUGGCUCAGAAUAUGCCAGAAUAUCUUCAAUGAAAAUGAUAUCUAUUUAUCAAGGCAUUAUUGGAAUACAUCAUUCAUCAACUCAUAAAACAGCAUGAGUAUCCAUAUAGCAUCACCAAACUUCAUAAAGACUAUAACGAGUCCAGAAAAACAAUCUUAGGAACAACGUUACUCAUAAUCUUCAAUUGGUAGUAACCAGAUCUCAAUUCAAUCUUUGAAUCUUCGCAAUUACUUAUGAGCUGGUUAAAUAAACAUUAGUACAUCACCAUGGAUAACGGUUCUCAAUCGUUACCCGACUCCAUUGUCUAUAAUCAAUGAACAGUCUCAAGAUCCAUUUUCUUCCUCACCAACAAACUGGGGCUCCUCAAAAGUGUUAUACUAGGUUGAAUAAAACUUUUAUCAACCAAUUCUCUCAACUGAAUUUCCAAUUCCCUUAACUCAUCAUGAACAAAUCUUUAACAUAAAUUUAUACCUGGCAACAAAUCAAUAAUGAACCUCAUAUCUCUGCCUGAAGACAAUCCAGGUAUACUUUCAGGGAAGACAUCAAGAAAAGUCUAACCCUUUCGACAUUAUUCACACUACUCCAAACAACAUCAUUUAGCACCACAUGAGCUAAUAUUUUUGACAGCCUUUCGAAAACAAUCUCUUUGCUCUCACAGCAUAAAUAACGGCCUGACUCAAUCCACUUUGCAUACUAACAAAAGUAAUCUCUGGUCAUCCAGAUCGAUGGAAAGUAACUGGUUUCCCGUAACAUUCCAUCUAGUCACAACUAUAAACAAUCACUCUAAUGGAAUAAAAUUAAUUGACCCAAUACAUACUUUAUUAUUACUGAACAUUCUAAGUAAGUACAACACUAACAUAAAAUAACCUACCGGUUUGCUUGCUUAACGAAUCCACGAAUGAGUUAUUAAUAUUACGGUCUGCAGCCCGCAAUACUGAUAAAUCAUCGUUGUCUCGAUAAGUAGGCAACCACUCUCAAAGAUAUAACAAUACUAUUUUGUCACUCAAUGCAAAAUACAUACACUCGUCUCAACUACAUUUAUUUACCACUCUCUAGGUAAUAUCAUACAUAAUAAGAAAUAUAUCAGCCGAAGUCAACUAGAAUGACCAAUACGGUUGAUUCAACUCUUAUCUCAAUAAUACGUCGGCCGGAUCCACUCCGCGUGGUCGGUACGGCCGAGCCUAUAACUCACCAAUUUCUCAUGUGUCAAUGAAUCCACUUCUCAUGGUCUGUACGGCUGAACAUAUAACUCAUCAAAUCUCUCUGUACUCACGGUCAAUCCGACCAAACUACUAAGUCCAUAACUCUGCUGAAUCGACACUAUGAUAUCAUGGAAAAUUGUUGAGUACAACUGAUUCUAGGGACGAUUCACAAUUAUGUGUCCCAUCUGUUCACAUAAACACAUUCAUUAAUUUCACAUUUCCCAAAGUGUUAAUUUUGUACCUGCUGCACAAGGUACAUUUCCUUUACUCGAGACACCUUGUCUCAAAUAUCUGGGAUUACCAGUAUAUCCAUCACUUUUAUUCUAACCAGCGACAUUAAAACCUCAGCUGGAAGAAUUAACUCUAGCUUCACUUCUUUCGAAGCUCUGAAUCUUUCUAUAUCCUUGAUAUGACGAAUCAUUAACUUUAUCGUCUUCUUUUAAUUCCCAUUCAUUUCUUAUUCUUCUUUAUUCUCGUUGCUCAUGUUCUCAGAGUCCUCAAGACUCAACAGCAUCUCGUAUAUUCCUGGUAAGAAGUAUAAUGGAUAAUGGUCACCCAAAAUACCACUUCCCUUUUGCCACCCAGCUUAAAACAACAUAACACCUCAACCAAAUUAACAACAAUAUCUGGAUAGAACGAGGCAAGUCUGAAAACUUUCUAUAAUAUCCCUCGAUCAUCACCUUCCUUGAUUCACAUUUGCAAACUCUUGCUUACUACCAUCGAUAAAUGCCGGAGGGAUAAACUUUUCCUUAAACAAGUCCUUAAACAAUUUUAAAUCGGCUGUUCCUCCGGUGACAACAAAUCAUACUCCUGUUUCCACCAGGAUACAAAUUCAUACCCAAAACCAGGUAGUCGUCUCGACCCCCUGUCAGAAGGAAGAUUCCUUUGACUUGCAUAAUCUGAAACAUCUUUUCCAAAUGGUUAAACCGUUACUUCGCUCCCUCAGGUUCAUCAUUUCAUAAGGUGAUUCAAAUUCAACUCAUAACCCAUCUUAAAUGUCCCUUUUUAUAAUAGACUGAAUCACCCUAAUAAUAGUUUUCCCUAAACCGCUAUAUUAGGGAGACUAAAUUCCUCUAACUACGUGGUUUGCUACGAGGCGGUGUAGUUCUGACAGAAUUCACUAUAAACUUCUCAAGAUGUCCAAGAUUGCAACCAUGCUCUGAUACCAACUGACACACCCCGUCCCGAAGGAGGGCAUGCUGGCCGUCACGUGAGAGUGACGUAACCAUUUGCACAGUACGGAAGCUUUAAUUAUACAAUUUAUAAGUUGAUACACCCGAAGGUGAGUCCUAAUUUUGUCCAAUCUGUCAGAACACCGUCGAAUUCCUCGUAGUCACCACACCUUUGUGAUUCCUGAACCUGGAGGGGCGCAAAACCAAAAUUGAGUGGGUCAGUAAAACAAUUCUUUUCCAAAUCCAAACAUUUUUCAAAACGUUGUAACCCCUCUCCGUAAAACCUGUAUAUUUUCCCAGAAAUGUAAAAUAUAAAUAUACAUAUAUAUUCUCAAGACUUCAAGUCGUUAACUCAACAUUUUCAUAACAAUUAUGCCAUGCCACAUCAUCUCAACAUUUCUCAUAUUAAUUAUGCCAUGCCACAUCAUCUCAACAGUAAUAAGGUAUGAAUGCAUCAACAUAAUCAUAUCAGGUGCAAGAAAGUAAUCAACCGUAGGCCCUCUAAUAGCCCUGUACGGUUGAACCUAGAGCUCAAAAUCUAUCAUUAUCACUCUACCGGAGUCACCUCUGUGACCCGUCCGGCCUUCUGCACACAAGUUACGCUCUAGUGCUUCUCAUAAAUCAUCUGUGCACAUAAUCUAAGGUCACCCACCAGUCGGAAUCUCACUAACACUCUCGCGACUGGUCUGUCGUACCCACUCCGCGUGGACUGUACGACUAGCAUCUACUUGGAUCCAAGGCGAGCGUGCGAUGCGGUGAAUACUAUAAGCACUAAACCAUGGUGCAGGAUUUGAGCUCAAUAUAUAUCAUCAUCAUCAUAACAGUAAUUAAAUACUCAUUUGUGCGUCCACCGCACCAUUUCAUACAUAUGCAUCAUAAAUCAAUUCUUACCUGUGCGUCCACCGCACCAAUUCAUACAUAUGCAUCAUAUAUUAAUUCAUGCAUGGCAUUUCAACUCACAUUUCUAUAUACUUUUCAUAUCAAUUCUAUGCAUGGUAUUUCACUUCCCGUUUUUCCACAUAACUCAUAUGCAUUUCAUUUUAAACAUAUUUUCAUUUCAAUUCAAUUUCUGGGAAACGUCAAGUAUAUAUAUAUACGGAAAACAAAACUGCCCACUCACCUGGAGUUCGCCCUACAACUCCCUAGCACAAUACGCCAAGGCGUCAUGACGAUCGCCGCCUAGAAUAGUAAUCAAAUCCAGGCUCAGAAUUCAUAUCGAUAGAAUACAUAACUUAUAUAAAAUACGUCACUACGUUGAUCGAUCCGGAAGAUCUGCCACUCAGAUUUUAAAUCCAUAACUUCCAGAGGUCCACAUUAUACCUCUAGGACAACAUCCUAAAAUUUCAUUACCAUCCAACGGUCGGAUCUCCGUCAAUUUCCAAAACUAAGUGACGGUUAACAUUUUAUAUUAUGGACUUACAAUUCCAAUUCCGGAAGAUCCCUAACUCGGAUUCCCAAUCCGUAAGUUCCAAUAAUCCUCAAAUAUUACGUAUUACAACGUAUCAAAUUUUGGUGACGAUCCAACGGUCGGAUCAUCAAUUCACAUUUUCACCAAAACUAUAAAACGUUAUUCGAACACCUAACCAACAAUCCUUAAUAACUUUCUCAUACGGUGCUCAAAUUGGGUAUAUGAAUAUACCACAGUGAUCUACUCGACGUCACGGACGUCGACAUAUUUUUAAAAUAAUUUUAUUUUUAUUUUUUAUUUUACUGUAGCACCAUCUUCUUCCUUGGGUCGCCGGACUGGUUUUUCCGGCGGCUGUUUUCCGGGCGGUUUUUCAAAUUGCCAUAACUUUGUCAUUUCUCAACGAAAUCAAGUGAUUCAAAAACGAAAGUUGUAGCCCUUGAAGAGACAAAGAGAAUGGUACCUUACACAACACCUAGUUCGCCGUGGUUUGGCCGGAAACUGCCUCGAAAGCCUCGGAGGUCGCCGGAAACUGGGUAUUUUUCAAAUGAGUAUAACUUCUUCAAUACUCAACGAAAUUGAGUGAAACAAAAAGGAAAGUUAGUACUUGACGAGACGAAGAGAUUGAUACCUACCUCGACUCCUAACUCGCCGGUGAUUCGCCGGAAAAUGCCUCGAAAGUUCCGGCCAAACUUUGAACUUGUCGAUCUCCGUGUUCUUACGUCCAAAAACUUCCAACGAAGCACUCCGAGCUUCGUGGGAACCUCCUAGAGCUCCCUAUGAUCUUAGUUUGGCCUAAAAAUCAACAAAUACAAAGUUCAUGAAUAGUGUCAUUUCACGGGCUUGAGUUUUCUACGUGAAAUCGUGGGAAACCUUACCUGAAAACAAUACCAAUGUGUUCGUAUGGUCCUCACGAACAUGAUGGUACCUUCCUCAUCCUGAAACUGUGAAGUUUUCGAGAGCCUUGGUGUUUGUCCGAGAGUUUGAGAGAGAAUGAGGGAGUGUGAGAGUGACUGAGGGAGAGAUGAGGAAGAGAGAGAGAAGGAGACAACAAAACGGGAAAUGGGGAAGGAUUUCAGAAGGUAGGACCCUACAUAAAGUCCAAAUACAAAAUAUUAACACAUACAAUAAUAAAUCUAACCCUAGUUUAGGAUGUUUUUAGGUAAAACAAAUACCAAAUUUACGCACCUUAAUCUCGUUUAAGGGCGUUUCUGUAAUUUCACG